AAACUAACAAGGAUUCCCCUAGUAACUGCGAGUGAAGCGGGAAAAGCUCAAAUUUAAAAUCUGGCGGUUUUGGCCGUCCGAAUUGUAAUCUGGAGAAGCGUUUUCCGCGUCGGACCGUGCACAAGUCUCUUGGAACAGAGCGUCAUAGAGGGUGAGAAUCCCGUCCAUGGCACGGACCGCCGAUGCUUUGUGAUACGCUCUCGAAGAGUCGAGUUGUUUGGGAAUGCAGCUCAAAAUGGGUGGUAAAUUCCAUCUAAAGCUAAAUAUUGGCGAGAGACCGAUAGCGAACAAGUACCGUGAGGGAAAGAUGAAAAGCACUUUGGAAAGAGAGUUAAACAGUACGUGAAAUUGUUGAAAGGGAAACGCUUGAAGUCAGUCGCGUCUUCUGGGACUCAGCCUUGCUUCGGCUCGGUGUACUUCCCGUUGGACGGGUCAACAUCGAUUUUGGUCGGUGGAUAAUGGUUGCAGGAAUGUGGCACCUUCGGGUGUGUUAUAGCCUGCUUCCGCAUACAUCGACUGGGAUCGAGGACCGCAGCGCGCCUUUAUGGCCGGGGGUUCGCCCCACGUAACGCGCUUAGGAUGUUGGCAUAAUGGCUUUAAGCGACCCGUCUUGAAACACGGACCAAGGAGUCUAACAUGCUCGCGAGUGUUAGGGUGGUAAACCCUUGCGCGUAAUGAAAGUGAAAGUUGGGACCGCCGCGAGGUGGGCACCGACGCCCGGCCCAGACGUUCUCUGACGGUGCCGCGGUAGAGCGCGUAUGUUGGGACCCGAAAGAUGGUGAACUAUGCCUGAAUAGGGCGAAGCCAGAGGAAACUCUGGUGGAGGCUCGUAGCGAUUCUGACGUGCAAAUCGAUCGUCAAAUUUGGGUAUAGGGGCGCGAANCUNNNNNNNNNNNNNNNNNNNNNNNNNNNNNN
RNAcentral lists this ribosomal RNA (915 nucleotides) under Fibricium rude. RNAcentral describes it as "partial 25S ribosomal RNA". It matches the Rfam family "Eukaryotic large subunit ribosomal RNA", at positions 62 to 929 of the family's 3401-position model. Lineage: Eukaryota; Fungi; Basidiomycota; Agaricomycetes; Hymenochaetales; Hymenochaetaceae. The record is from RNAcentral.